AAGUCGUAACAAGGUCUCCGUAGGUGAACCUGCGGAGGGAUCAUUAACACGUUUUCGAACGUUUUCAACCAAAUACAUGGAAACAAGAAGAGAAAGGAAAAUUGAAACUUUCCUUUCGAUUCAGCGAUUCUCCCCUCGAAGCCGAAAGGCGGACUGGGCCAUCCUUUUCUUUGACCUUAAAACUCGUUCCCAACUGACUUGUCUGAGUGUGAGCUUUUGCUUUCGCUCUGCUCGAGUGUUCCCACUGCCUUAACAUGAGAGUUCUUGGAUUCGGUUUUGGACUUCUGUCUGGAUCCGGUCCCAGUCUCUUCUGAUAUCAUAAUGCAAAGCACAACUCUUAGCAACGGAUAUCUUGGUUCUC
RNAcentral lists this unclassified non-coding RNA (361 nucleotides) under fungal sp. RNAcentral's name for it is "partial internal transcribed spacer region". The stretch from base 1 to 46 matches the Rfam family "Eukaryotic small subunit ribosomal RNA", at positions 1786 to 1831 of the family's 1831-position model. Lineage: Eukaryota; Fungi. The record is from RNAcentral.